UACAGAGGUCCCAAGCGUUGUUCGGAUUCACUGGGCGUAUAGGGUGCGUAGGUGGUGAGGUAAGUCGGAUGUGAAAGCUCGGAGCUCAACUCCGAAAUGGCAUUGGAAACUACCUGGCUUGAGGGUUGGAAGGGGGACUGGAAUUCUCGGUGUAGCAGUGAAAUGCGUAGAUAUCGAGAGGAACACCAGUGGCGAAGGCGAGUCCCUGGACAAUACCUGACACUGAGGCACGAAAGCUAGGGGAGCAAACAGG
Molecule: ribosomal RNA, 253 nt
Filed under: uncultured bacterium
Lineage: Bacteria
Description: partial 16S ribosomal RNA
Rfam family: Bacterial small subunit ribosomal RNA
Source: RNAcentral